This 352-nucleotide ribosomal RNA is filed under the name uncultured bacterium. Its description in RNAcentral is "partial 16S ribosomal RNA". It matches the Rfam family "Bacterial small subunit ribosomal RNA", at positions 338 to 682 of the family's 1533-position model. The record is from RNAcentral.
CCUACGGGAGGCAGCAGUGGGGAAUAUUGCGCAAUGGGCGAAAGCCUGACGCAGCGACGCCGCGUGAGGGAUGAAGGUCUUCGGAGCGUAAACCUCUGUCAGCAGGGAAGAACGGUCACGGUGCUAAUCAGCAGUGAAUUGACGGUACCUGCAAAGGAAGCACCGGCUAACUCCGUGCCAGCAGCCGCGGUAAUACGGAGGGUGCGAGCGUUAAGCGGAAUUACUGGGCGGAAAGCGCUCGUAGGCGGUAUGUCAAGUCAAGGGUGAAAUCCCCGCGCUCCACGUGGGAACUGCCUUUGAAACUGGCAACCUGGCGUGUGUGCGCGGCUAGUGGAAUUCCCGGUGUAGGCGU